UACGGAGGGUGCGAGCGUUAUUCGGAAUUACUGGGCGUAAAGCGCGUGUAGCCGGCUUGGCAAGUCCCCUGGGAAAUCUGGCGGCUUAACCGUCAGGCGUCCAGAGGAUACUGCCAGGCUUGGGACCGGGAGAGGUGAGAGGUACCUCAGGGGUAGGGGUGAAAUCUUGUGAUCCCUGAGGGACCACCAGUGGCGAAGGCGUCUCACUAGAACGGGUCCGACGGUCAGGGACGAAAGCUGGGGGCACGAACCGG
Molecule: ribosomal RNA, 254 nt
Filed under: uncultured microorganism
Description: partial 16S ribosomal RNA
Rfam family: Archaeal small subunit ribosomal RNA
Source: RNAcentral